GUUCUUUGUUGGGUAGACGCGCGAUAGUAAUAUCGUGAGGAAAGUCCGAGCACAUAGUUAUGUUUACAUAACAAGCGUAGCGGGUAAUGCCCGUCUGAGGUGACUCAUGUGUUGCGAACAGAAACGAUCCGGUUUAGUCCGGCUGAAACGGCUAAAUACAUACGUGUGUGCAAGACCGUGCUUCUAAUGUUUACAUUAGAAGAGUGUCGCUAGAUCUUUACAGUAAUGUAAAGACAAGAUAAAUGUCUAUACAAAUACAGAACUCGGCUUAUAGACAAAGAAUACAU
RNAcentral lists this RNase P RNA (287 nucleotides) under Candidatus Nomurabacteria bacterium. RNAcentral's name for it is "RNase P RNA component class A". It matches the Rfam family "Bacterial RNase P class A". From Rfam's summary of the family: Ribonuclease P (RNase P) is a ubiquitous endoribonuclease, found in archaea, bacteria and eukarya as well as chloroplasts and mitochondria. Its best characterised activity is the generation of mature 5'-ends of tRNAs by cleaving the 5'-leader elements of precursor-tRNAs. The record is from RNAcentral. Lineage: Bacteria; Candidatus Nomuraibacteriota.